Molecule: ribosomal RNA, 251 nt
Filed under: uncultured bacterium
Lineage: Bacteria
Description: partial 16S ribosomal RNA
Rfam family: Bacterial small subunit ribosomal RNA
Source: RNAcentral
UACGUAGGGUGCGAGCGUUAAUCGGAAUUACUGGGCGUAAAGCGUGCGCAGGCGGUGAUGUAAGACAGAUGUGAAAUCCCCGGGCUUAACCUGGGAACUGCAUUGGUGACUGGCAGGCUUUGAGUGUGGCAGAGGGAGGUAGAAUUCCACGUGUAGCAGUGAAAUGCGUAGAGAUGUGGAGGAAUACCGAUGGCGAAGGCAGCCUCCUGGGCCAACACUGACGCUCAUGCACGAAAGCGUGGGGAGCAAAC